GUGUAUUAAAUACAAAUGUCUAUGUGGUAAUUCCAAUGGUUCUGGUAAUCGUUGGAGUACAAGACCAAAUAGAAUACAAAAAGGCUCUACAGAGAGCAAUUACUUCUAGAACUAGAAAAAAAAAAUACUAAUAAAUAUCAUUUAUGAUACUACCUCUGGUCCUAUUUAUAAGAGAAAUUUAGGUCAACAAAAGUGAAUGUAUUUGGACUGAAUUUUUAACUAGAUACAUCAACUUUUGUUGACCCAAAAUUCUCUUAUAAAUAGGACCGGAGGUAGUAAAAUAUUCUAUGAUAUGUAAUUUAAUUAUUGUGUUGGCACCCAAUACUUGAAUUGUUUUUUUCUCUUCUUCUCUAAUUUCAAAGACCAUGCAGUUAUGGCUUGGUACUAUAAGACGAUGAUAAUGAAAUGAAAUAAAUCAUAAAAUAUUAUUAUUUAGAAUAUCA
This 443-nucleotide long non-coding RNA is filed under the name Medicago truncatula (barrel medic). Its description in RNAcentral is "long non-coding RNA (MTRU_LNC003275)". Lineage: Eukaryota; Viridiplantae; Streptophyta; Magnoliopsida; Fabales; Fabaceae. The record is from RNAcentral.